RNAcentral lists this ribosomal RNA (490 nucleotides) under uncultured bacterium. RNAcentral describes it as "partial 16S ribosomal RNA". It matches the Rfam family "Bacterial small subunit ribosomal RNA", at positions 30 to 507 of the family's 1533-position model. The record is from RNAcentral.
AUUGAACGCUGGCGGCAUGCCUUACACAUGCAAGUCGAACGGCAGCAUGAUCUAGCUUGCUAGAUUGAUGGCGAGUGGCGAACGGGUGAGUAAUACAUCGGAACGUGCCCUGUAGUGGGGGAUAACUAGUCGAAAGAUUAGCUAAUACCGCAUACGACCUGAGGGUGAAAGUGGGGGACCGCAAGGCCUCAUGCUAUAGGAGCGGCCGAUGUCUGAUUAGCUAGUUGGUGAGGUAAAGGCUCACCAAGGCGACGAUCAGUAGCUGGUCUGAGAGGACGAUCAGCCACACUGGGACUGAGACACGGCCCAGACUCCUACGGGAGGCAGCAGUGGGGAAUUUUCGACAAUGGGCGAAAGCCUGAUCCAGCAAUGCCGCGUGUGUGAAGAAGGCCUUCGGGUUGUAAAGCACUUUUGUCCGGAAAGAAAUGGCUCUGGUUAAUACCUGAGGUCGAUGACGGUACCGGAAGAAUAAGGACCGGCUAACUACGUG